ACAGCAGCCGCCACGGGAAUACGAAGGGGGCUAGCGUUGCUCGGAAUUACUGGGCGUAAAGGGCGCGUAGGCGGACAGUUCAGUCGGGGGUGAAAGCCCGGGGCUCAACCUCGGAAUUGCCUUCGAUACUGGCUGUCUUGAGUAUGAGAGAGGUGUGUGGAACUCCGAGUGUAGAGGUGAAAUUCGUAGAUAUUCGGAAGAACACCAGUGGCGAAGGCGACACACUGGCUCAUUACUGACGCUGAGGCGCGAAAGCGUGGGGAGCAAACAGGAUUAGAUACCCGUGUAGUCCCUGUCUCUUAUAC
Molecule: ribosomal RNA, 305 nt
Filed under: uncultured bacterium
Lineage: Bacteria
Description: partial 16S ribosomal RNA
Rfam family: Bacterial small subunit ribosomal RNA
Source: RNAcentral